UCAAUUUUUACUAUAUUUAAAAUGGCUUACCAAAAUGCUAGUUUCACUAGAUGAGGCUUACCAAGAAACAAGGAUGGUUAAAUGAUCACUCAUGCAUUGAAUAUAAAAAUAGCAUUCAACAUAAAGAGGUCAUCGUGGAUAAAUUAAAAUUUUGAAGGAACUGCAUUACUAUUGAUAUGGAACAACAAGAUUGAGAAAGAAGCCAUAAAUCUUCAGCCUAAUCAUCUCAACAAGAUACAAGUGAGAUUGGAAAUAUGAGAAAUAAGGUUAUUGCACUCGGGGAGAAACUUCAACAUGAUAGGGAGAAAUAUGAAAAAAAAAUGCCAAAGUACAUGAUCCCAAAGUUUCGAGAAUUCAAGUGCACAAUAUUCACACCUACAAGUAAUGAAGCUGAUACUUUAGAUGGAUUACUCAGGCAUAGUGACAACACGAUCUAUGGCGUUAGUAAAGACAUUUAUUACUUCUUUUAUCUAAAAGCCUUUAUGCUUUAGAAUUGAUAAAUUGGUAUUAUUUCGA
Helianthus annuus (common sunflower) is the source of this 516-nucleotide long non-coding RNA. RefSeq lists it as uncharacterized. The transcript is spliced from 2 exons. The record is from RefSeq and is a predicted model, not a curated record. NCBI's taxonomy places the organism in Eukaryota, Viridiplantae, Streptophyta, Magnoliopsida, Asterales, Asteraceae.